AUGGGUAGCAAACAGGAUUAGAUACCCUGGUAGUCCAUACCGUAAACGAUGAAUGCUAAGUGUUGGAGGGUUUCCGCCCUUCAGUGCUGCAGCUAACGCAUUAAGCAUUCCGCCUGGGGAGUACGGCCGCAAGGCUGAAACUCAAAGGAAUUGACGGGGGCCCGCACAAGCGGUGGAGCAUGUGGUUUAAUUCGAAGCUACGCGAAGAACCUUACCAGGUCUUGACAUACUAUGCAAAUCUAAGAGAUUAGACGUUCCCUUCGGGGACAUGGAUACAGGUGGUGCAUGGUUGUCGUCAGCUCGUGUCGUGAGAUGUUGGGUUAAGUCCCGCAACGAGCGCAACCCUUAUUAUCAGUUGCCAGCAUUAAGUUGGGCACUCUGGUGAGACUGCCGGUGACAAACCGGAGGAAGGGGGGGAUGACGUCAAAUCAUCAUGCCCCUUAUGACCUGGGCUACACACGUGCUACAAUGGAUGGUACAACGAGUUGCGAACUCGCGAGAGUAAGCUAAUCUCUUAAAGCCAUUCUCAGUUCGGAUUGUAGGCUGCAACUCGCCUACAUGAAGUCGGAAUCGCUAGUAAUCGCGGAUCAGCAUGCCGCGGUGAAUACGUUCCCGGGCCUUGUACACACCGCCCGUCACACCAUGA
This 646-nucleotide ribosomal RNA is filed under the name Lactiplantibacillus plantarum. RNAcentral describes it as "bacterial SSU rRNA". It matches the Rfam family "Bacterial small subunit ribosomal RNA", at positions 761 to 1407 of the family's 1533-position model. Lineage: Bacteria; Bacillati; Bacillota; Bacilli; Lactobacillales; Lactobacillaceae. The record is from RNAcentral.